AUACGGAGGGUGCAAGCGUUGCUCGGAAUUAUUGGGCGUAAAGGGUAGGUAGGUGGUCUCAUUUGUCCGGGGUGAAAGCCUUAGGCUUAACCUGAGAAGUGCCCCGGAAACGGUGAGACUUGAGUCCUGGAGAGGGUCGUGGAAUUCCCGGUGUAGCGGUGAAAUGCGUAGAGAUCGGGAGGAACACCAGAGGCGAAGGCGGCGACCUGGACAGGCACUGACACUCAACUACGAAAGCGUGGGGAGCAAACAGGAUUAGAUACCCUGGUAGUCCACGCUGUAAACGAUGAGUACUAGACUUGGUGGGUCUUGACCCCCGCCGAGUCGGCGCUAACGCAAUAAGUACUCCGCCUGGGAAGUACGGUCGCAAGACUAAA
RNAcentral lists this ribosomal RNA (377 nucleotides) under uncultured bacterium. RNAcentral describes it as "bacterial SSU rRNA". It matches the Rfam family "Bacterial small subunit ribosomal RNA", at positions 523 to 898 of the family's 1533-position model. The record is from RNAcentral.